GCCUCUAUAGCUCAAUGGCAGAGCAAUUGCCUUGUAAGCAGUAGGUUGGGGGUUCAAAUCCCCCUAGAGGCU
RNAcentral lists this transfer RNA (72 nucleotides) under Candidatus Woesearchaeota archaeon. RNAcentral's name for it is "tRNA-Thr". It matches the Rfam family "tRNA". From Rfam's summary of the family: Transfer RNA (tRNA) molecules are approximately 80 nucleotides in length. Their secondary structure includes four short double-helical elements and three loops (D, anti-codon, and T loops). The record is from RNAcentral. Lineage: Archaea; Nanobdellati; Candidatus Woesearchaeota.